AGUGAACGCUGGCGGUAGGCCUAACACAUGCAAGUCGAACGGCAGCACAGUAAGAGCUUGCUCUUACGGGUGGCGAGUGGCGGACGGGUGAGGAAUACAUCGGAAUCUACUUUUUCGUGGGGGAUAACGUAGGGAAACUUACGCUAAUACCGCAUACGACCUACGGGUGAAAGCAGGGGAUCUUCGGACCUUGCGCGAUAGAAUGAGCCGAUGUCGGAUUAGCUAGUUGGCGGGGUAAAGGCCCACCAAGGCGACGAUCCGUAGCUGGUCUGCGAGGAUGAUGGGCCACACUGGAAGGGAAACACGGUCCAGACUCCUACGGGAGGCAGCAGUGGGGAAUAUUGGACAAUGGGCGCAAGCCUGAUCCAGCCAUACCGCGUGGGUGAAGAAGGCCUUCGGGUUGUAAAGCCCUUUUGUUGGGAAAGAAAAGCAGCAGGUUAAUACCCCGCUGUUCUGACGGUACCCAAAGAAUAAGCACCGGCUAACUUCGUG
RNAcentral lists this ribosomal RNA (492 nucleotides) under uncultured bacterium. Its description in RNAcentral is "partial 16S ribosomal RNA". It matches the Rfam family "Bacterial small subunit ribosomal RNA", at positions 29 to 507 of the family's 1533-position model. The record is from RNAcentral.